Molecule: ribosomal RNA, 491 nt
Filed under: uncultured bacterium
Lineage: Bacteria
Description: partial 16S ribosomal RNA
Rfam family: Bacterial small subunit ribosomal RNA
Source: RNAcentral
AGUGAACGCUGGCGGUAGGCCUAACACAUGCAAGUCGAACGGCAGCACAGUAAGAGCUUGCUCUUACGGGUGGCGAGUGGCGGACGGGUGAGGAAUACAUCGGAAUCUACUUUUUCGUGGGGGAUAACGUAGGGAAACUUACGCUAAUACCGCAUACGACCUACGGGUGAAAGCAGGGGAUCUUCGGACCUUGCGCGAUUGAAUGAGCCGAUGUCGGAUUAGCUAGUUGGCGGGGUAAAGGCCCACCAAGGCGACGAUCCGUAGCUGGUCUGAGAGGAUGAUCGGCCACACUGGAACUGAGACACGGUCCAGACUCUACGGGAGGCAGCAGUGGGGAAUAUUGGACAAUGGGCGCAAGCCUGAUCCAGCCAUACCGCGUGGGUGAAGAAGGCCUUCGGGUUGUAAAGCCCUUUUGUUGGGAAAGAAAAGCAGCAGGUUAAUACCCCGCUGUUCUGACGGUACCCAAAGAAUAAGCACCGGCUAACUUCGUG